UAGCUAAUACCGCAUAAGCUUUGAGAAGGAAAGCAGGGGAUCGCAAGACCUUNCGCUAUUUGAGCGUCCGACGUCUGAUUAGUUAGUUGGUGAGGUAAAGGCUCACCAAGGCAUCGAUCAGUAGCGGGUCUGAGAGGAUGAUCCGCCACACUGGGACUGAGACACGGGCCAGACUCCUACGGGAGGCAGCAGUGGGGAAUUUUGGACAAUGGGCGCAAGCCUGAUCCAGCCAUGCCGCGUGUCUGAAGAAGGCNUUCGGGUUGUAAAGGACUUUUGUCAGGGAGGAAAUCCCUAGCGCUAAUAUCGCUGGGGGAUGACAGUACCUGAAGAAUAAGCACCGGCUAACUACGUGCCAGCAGCCGCGGUAAUACGUAGGGUGCAAGCGUUAAUCGGAAUUACUGGGCGUAAAGCGUGCGCAGGCGGUUGUGUAAGUCUGAUGUGAAAGCCCCGGGCUUAACCUGGGAACUGCAUUGGAGACUGCACAGCUAGAGUGCGUCAGAGGGGGGUAGAAUUCCGCGUGUAGCAGUGAAAUGCGUAGAGAUGCGGAGGAAUACCGAUGGCGAAGGCAGCCCCCUGGGAUGACACUGACGCUCAUGCACGAAAGCGUGGGGAGCAAACAGGAUUAGAUACCCUGGUAGUCCACGCCCUAAACGAUGUCAACUAGCUGUUGGGGGUUUGAAUCCUUGGUAGCGUAGCUAACGCGAGAAGUUGACCGCCUGGGGAGUACGGCCGCAAGGUUAAAACUCAAAGGAAUUGACGGGGACCCGCACAAGCGGUGGAUGAUGUGGAUUAAUUUGAUGCAACGCGAAAAACCUUACCUGGUC
This 824-nucleotide ribosomal RNA is filed under the name Aquitalea pelogenes. RNAcentral's name for it is "bacterial SSU rRNA". It matches the Rfam family "Bacterial small subunit ribosomal RNA", at positions 160 to 980 of the family's 1533-position model. Lineage: Bacteria; Pseudomonadati; Pseudomonadota; Betaproteobacteria; Neisseriales; Chromobacteriaceae. The record is from RNAcentral.